This 119-nucleotide ribosomal RNA is filed under the name Stegodyphus mimosarum. The record is from RNAcentral. Lineage: Eukaryota; Metazoa; Arthropoda; Arachnida; Araneae; Eresidae.
AUCAACAUCCAUACGAUGUUGAAAGUAACGGUUCUCGUCCGAUUACCGAAGUUAACCAGCAUUGGGAGCGGUCAGUUCUUAAGAAGGUGACCAUAUGGAAACACCGUGGGCUGUUGACA